This 477-nucleotide unclassified non-coding RNA is filed under the name Hevea brasiliensis (rubber tree). Lineage: Eukaryota; Viridiplantae; Streptophyta; Magnoliopsida; Malpighiales; Euphorbiaceae. The record is from RNAcentral.
GAUUGAAGGUGGGGUUCCCAGUUCUUUUGGGAAUUUGACACGUUUACGUCAUCUGGACAUGUCUAAUACUCAGACAGUCCAAUGGCUUCCUGAGUUGUUUCUCAGGUUAUCAGGCAGCAGGAAAUCACUUGAGGUUUUGGGGUUGAACGAAAACUCAUUGUUUGGUUCAAUUGUUAAUGCAACAAGAUUUUCAUCCUUAAAGAAAUUAUACCUGCAGAAGAAUAUGCUGAAUGGUUCUUUUAUGGAAAGUGCGGGACAAGUUUCUACCCUUGAGUAUCUGGAUUUGUCUGAAAACCAAAUGAGAGGGGCAUUACCAGAUUUAGCAUUGUUUCCAUCAUUGAGAGAGUUGCAUCUUGGCUCUAAUCAAUUUCGAGGGAGGAUACCACAAGGUAUCGGAAAACUUUCACAGCUUAGAAUUUUGGAUGUCUCGUCCAAUAGACUGGAAGGACUACCAGAAAGUAUGGGGCAACUAUCUAA